Molecule: long non-coding RNA, 362 nt
Filed under: Setaria viridis
Lineage: Eukaryota; Viridiplantae; Streptophyta; Magnoliopsida; Poales; Poaceae
Description: long non-coding RNA (SVIR_LNC001664)
Source: RNAcentral
AAGAUAUUAUGUCAAAGGCCUAGCUGUUGAAAGGGGGAAAGUAACAGUCAGGUUCAAAAGGAAAUUUCCCUCGAUUGGCUAGGAAUCUGAAGGAGGUGUAGUAAGGUGAAUUGAAAUUAAGAAAAUUUCCUACAAAUUCAAUAAAGGGACUUUUGAAAGAACAGUUUGGAUUUUUGUUGUAAUUGGCCGUUGAAGUUUCUGACAGCAAGGUUCAAAAGGAGAAAAUUUAGUUAAGCUGAAGUUCAAUGUCCAGAAAAGUUCAGAGACGUUUUUCACGAGGAAGGAGCGAGAUUCAGCCAAAAGUGCAAAUCUAUGAAAGGUAGAACCUUGGAUUUCCUCCAACUUUGAUAAAGAAAGUUUUG